UACGUAGGGUGCAAGCGUUAAUCGGAAUUACUGGGCGUAAAGCGUGCGCAGGCGGUUUUGUAAGUCUGUCGUGAAAUCCCCGGGCUCAACCUGGGAAUUGCGUUGGAGACUGCAAGGCUGGAGUCUGGCAGAGGGGGGUAGAAUUCCACGUGUAGCAGUGAAAUGCGUAGAGAUGUGGAGGAACACCGAUGGCGAAGGCAGCCCCCUGGGUCAAGACUGACGCUCAUGCACGAAAGCGUGGGGAGCAAACAGG
Molecule: ribosomal RNA, 253 nt
Filed under: uncultured bacterium
Lineage: Bacteria
Description: partial 16S ribosomal RNA
Rfam family: Bacterial small subunit ribosomal RNA
Source: RNAcentral